GAAAGGAAAGAUCUCCUUGAGCCUGCUUCAACCAUCAGUGGGGUUCCUCAUCUCUCUGUUCACAAUGUUCUGGCUAUUGAAUUCCCUCCUCUUCAUAACUGGGAUUGCUUGUAAGUAAUUCUUCAAAAGCUGUUUUUGAAGAAACCAGUCUAGCUAAGUGCCCUGCAUGGAAACACCUGCUCUAUAUUUAUUUAUAAAUCCACUUGGUGUGCCUCCUCUUUUUUCAGGGGCCAGUUCAGAGAUUGUUCUCACUCAGUCAGGCCCAGAAUUGAAAAAGCCUGGAGAAUCUGUGAGACUCACCUGUUCCACAGCUGGAUUUGUUCUUAGCAGCGCUCACACGCACUGGCUCCGUCAGUCUCCAGGGAAAGGGCUGGAAUGGCUGAUAUACUAUUACUCUUCAACUGGUACCAAUUAUUACUCCCCAACCAUUCAAGGGCGGUUCACUGCCUCCAAGGAUAGCUCCAACUUAUAUCUGCACAUGAACAAUCUGAAGCAAGAAGACACAGCCACGUAUUACUGCGCCAGAGGCU
Podarcis lilfordi (Lilford's wall lizard) is the source of this 530-nucleotide non-coding RNA. The record is from the annotation of a GenBank genome assembly. Lineage: Eukaryota; Metazoa; Chordata; Lepidosauria; Squamata; Lacertidae.